This 76-nucleotide transfer RNA is filed under the name Elusimicrobiota bacterium. RNAcentral describes it as "Elusimicrobia bacterium (groundwater metagenome) tRNA-Ile". It matches the Rfam family "tRNA". Rfam says of the family: Transfer RNA (tRNA) molecules are approximately 80 nucleotides in length. Their secondary structure includes four short double-helical elements and three loops (D, anti-codon, and T loops). The record is from RNAcentral. Lineage: Bacteria; Pseudomonadati; Elusimicrobiota.
GGGCGGAUAGCUCAUUUGGCAGAGCGCCGUGCUGAUAACACGGAGGUGCCGGGUUCGAAUCCCGGUCCGCCCACCA